RNAcentral lists this transfer RNA (66 nucleotides) under marine eukaryotic metagenome. It matches the Rfam family "tRNA", at positions 6 to 65 of the family's 71-position model. Rfam says of the family: Transfer RNA (tRNA) molecules are approximately 80 nucleotides in length. Their secondary structure includes four short double-helical elements and three loops (D, anti-codon, and T loops). The record is from RNAcentral.
GGCGUAGCUCAGUUGGUAGAGCCCUGGAUUGUGAUUCCGGUUGUCGUGGGUUCGAGUCCCAUCGUU